UUUUACAUGCCUGCAAUGCAGUGAAGAAAACGAUAUGACAACAAUAACGUCUAAUGUAACUGACCCCUCUAACAGUACAACUGGCCCCAGCUUGGCCCCCCCAGUUGAAAUUGUCUAGAACCGCCACUGUUCGUGGCACUGGCGUCUCAUUCGAACGUCAAUGGUAGUUUCUGUGCCUACCGUGGUGAUAACGGGGAAUCGGGGUUCGAUUCCGGAGAGGGAGCCUGAGAAACGGCUACCACAUCCAAGGAAGGCAGCAGGCAUGCAAAAGAUCCACUCCCGAUUUGGGGAGGUAGUAAUGA
This 302-nucleotide non-coding RNA is filed under the name Salmo salar (Atlantic salmon). RNAcentral's name for it is "Microsporidia small subunit ribosomal RNA". It matches the Rfam family "Eukaryotic small subunit ribosomal RNA", at positions 191 to 473 of the family's 1831-position model. Lineage: Eukaryota; Metazoa; Chordata; Actinopteri; Salmoniformes; Salmonidae. The record is from Rfam by way of RNAcentral.